This 221-nucleotide ribosomal RNA is filed under the name uncultured bacterium. Its description in RNAcentral is "partial 16S ribosomal RNA". It matches the Rfam family "Bacterial small subunit ribosomal RNA", at positions 116 to 334 of the family's 1533-position model. The record is from RNAcentral.
CGUGGGGAACCUGCCUUGGAGAGGGGAACAACUCCCGAAAAGGGAAGUGCUAAUACCGCAUGAUGCAGUUGGGUCGCAUGGCUCUGACUGCCAAAGAUUUAUCGCUCUGAGAUGGCCUCGCGUCUGAUUAGCUAGUAGGCGGGGUAGCGGCCCACCUAGGCGACGAUCAGUAGCCGGACUGAGAGGUUGACCGGCCACAUUGGGACUGAGACACGGCCCAG